GUUCAGUCUUCGACAUAUGCUGUUUCUCACAGGUGAGCGAAGAGCUCAGGACACACCCCCUCGCUCACUGGGCGAGAUCCCUCCAUCAGAGUGAGGAUCAGAAGGAGCUGAGCUCAGCUGGAAGCUUCACCUGCAAACAUGGACACAAGUCUUCAGAGCAGAGGAGAGACGCUCACAGGUGUGGACGGAGAGGAGGAAGCUCCUCCUUCUAAAGCCCCUCUGGGUGAGGACCAUGGCAGCCAGACCAGAGCUCAGAGAACAAAGCCACUCACAUCAGAAGCUGCUGGACGAGGACACGGACCUGGACCUGCUCCCAGCUGUGUGUCUCUGAAGAGUGAUGCGUCGAAGGGUCUUGGUAUUGAUUUCAAAGGUGGACAAGAGCCUUCAGGAGUGAGAGAGGAUCAGCAGGUCUCAGAUGUUCUCAGUCCCCAGUGUGUCCAGCAGCAUCAGACAGAUCUGGACUCCACACUUCAGCUGCUUGAGGAGACUGUCAUGACCCUGGUGAAGAAGGAAGUGAGGAGAGUCCAAAGGAUCCUCAGUCCAGAUGAUCCCAAAUACCAGGAUGAUGAGGAAGAGGUGAAGGUGAAGUGUGAUGAGGAGCAGAUGAGGAGCAGCAGAGAAGCUUUCCUGGACUUCAUCAUGAACCUCCUGAGGAGCAUGGAGGAGGAGGAGCUUGCUUGUCGUGUGUGGAGCAGAAGUCGUGCUGGAGCGUGUGGAGGACGACUGAAGAGGAGCCUGCAGAAGAAGUUCCACAGUGUGUUUGAGGGCGUGGCUAAAGCGGGAAACUCCGCCCCUCUUAAUCAGAUCUACACAGAGCUCUACAUCACUGAGGGGGGCACAGACCAGGUCAACCAGGAGCACGAGGUCCGACAGAUCGAAGCAGCAACCAGGAACCAGACCAGAGCAGAAACUACCAUCAGACAAGAAGACCUCUUUAAAGCCUCUCCUGAGAGAGAGGGACCAAUCAGGAGCCUGCUGACGAAGGGCGUGGCUGGCAUUGGGAAGACCCUCCUGACACAGAAGCUGACUCUGGACUGGGCUGAAGACAAAGCCCACCAGAACUUCCAGCUCAUGUUUCCUUUCACCUUCAGAGAGCUGAACCUGCUGAAAGAGAAGAAGUUGAGUUUGGUGGAACUUGUUCAUCGCUUCUUUCCUGAAACCAAAGAAUCAGGACUCGGCAGCUUUGAAGGAGUCCAGGUUCUGUUCAUCUUGGACGGUCUGGACGAGUGUCGACUCCCUCUGGAGUUCAACAGUCGGGUCGUGACAGAAGCUACAGAGUCCACCUCAGUACACGUCCUGCUGACCAACCUCAUCAGGGGGAAGCUGCUUCCCUCAGCUCACCUCUGGAUAACCACACGACCUGCAGCAGCCAAUCAGAUCCCUCCUGAGUGUGUGGACAUGGUGACAGAGGUCAGAGGGUUCACUGACCUCCAGAAGGAGGAGUACUUCAGGAAGAGGUUCAGAGAUGAGGAGCAUACCACCAUCAUCUCUCACAUCAGGAGCUCACGAAGCCUCUACAUCAUGUGUCACAUCCCCAUCUUCUGCUGGAUCACUGCCACAGUUCUGGAGGACAUGUUGAAGAGCAGAGAGACCAGAGAGCUGCCCAAGACCCUGACUGAGAUGUACAUCCACUUCCUGGUGGUUCAGGCCAAAGUCAAGAAGAUCAAGUACCAUGGAGGAGCUGGGACUGACACAGUUUGGGAUCCUGAGAGCAGGAAGAUGAUUGAGUGUCUGGGAAAACUGGCUUUUGAGCAGCUGCAGAGAGGGAACUUGAUCUUCUAUGAAUCAGACCUCACAGAGUGUGGCAUCGACAUCACAGCUGCUGCAGUUUACUCAGGAGUCUUCACACAGAUCUUCAGAGAGGAGAGAGGACUGUACCAGGACAAGGUCUUCUGCUUCAUCCACCUGAGUCUUCAGGAGUUUCUGGCUGCUCUUCAUGUCCAUCUGAAGUUCUUCAACUCUGGAGUCGACCUGCUUGAGUCACAACAAAUGUCUCUACUGACAAGACUCUUUAGAAACAAAUGUGUUCCAGGACAUUUCUACCAGAGAGCAAUAAAUGAAGCUGUAGAAAGUCCAAAUGGACAUCUGGACUUGUGCCUGCGCUUCCUCCUGGGUCUUUCUCUGCAGAGCAGCCAGAAUCUCCUUCCAGGUUUGUUGCCAGAGGCAGGAAGUAGCUCCUGGACCCAUCAGGACACAGCAGAGCUCAUCAAGAAGAAGAUCAGUGAGAAAGUGUCUCCAGAGAGAAUCAUCAAUCUGUUCCACUGUCUGAGUGAAGUGAAGGACACUUCUCUAGUGGAGCAGGUCCAACAGCAGCUGAGAUCAGGGCAUCUCUCCACAGAUCAACUGUCUGCUGCUCAGUGGUCCACCCUGGCCUUCAUCUUACUGUCCUCAGAGGAAGAUCGGGAGGUGUUUGACCUGAAGAAAUACUCUGCUUCAGAGGAGGCUCUUGAGAGGCUGCUGCCUGUGGUCCAAGCAUCAAAGGAAGUUCUACUGAGAGAAUGUCAGCUGUCAGAGAGAAGUGGUUCCCUUCUGUCCUCAGUCCUCAGCUCUCCGUCCUCUCGUCUGACACAACUGAACCUGAGCUACAACAAGCUGAAGGACCCAGGAGUGGAGCUGCUGUCUGCUGGACUGAAGUGUCCACACUGUCACCUAGAGACUCUCAGCCUGAGCAGCUGUGGACUGUCAGAGAGAAGUGGUUCCCUUCUGUCCUCAGUCCUCAGCUCUCCGUCCUCUCGUCUGACACAACUGGACCUGAGCUACAACAUCCUGAAGGAUCCAGGAGUGAAGCUGCUGUCUGCUGGACUGAAGAGUCCACACUGUCACCUGGAGACUCUCAGCCUGAGCAGGUGUGGACUGUCAGAGAGAAGUGGUUCCCUUCUGUCCUCAGUCCUCAGCUCUCCGUCCUCUCGUCUGACACAACUGGACCUGAGCUACAACAUCCUGAAGGAUCCAGGAGUGGAGCUGCUGUCUGCUGGACUGAAGAGUCCACACUGUCACCUGGAGACUCUCAGUGUGUCAGGGUGUGGGAUCUCAGAGAGAGGCUGUGCUUCUCUGGCCUCAGCUCUGACCUGUAACCCCUCCCAUCUGAGAGAGCUGGACCUGAGCUUCAAUCAUCCAGGAGGACCAGGACUGGAGCUGCUGUCUGCUGGAGUGGAGAGUCCCGACUGGAGGCUGGAGACUCUCAGGCUGGAUUACUGUGGACCACAGAGGUUAACAUCUGGACUGAAGAGAUACUUCCGACCACUCUCACUGGACCCAGACACAGCUCACCGGCGCCUCCUACUGUCCAACAACAACCACAUGGUGGAGCUAGUGACGGAGGAUCAGGAGUAUCUGGACCAUCUGGACCAUCCCGACAGGUUUGAGUGGUGUCCUCAGGUGAUGAGCAGAGACGCUGUGACUGGUGUCUGUUACUGGGAGGUGGAGUGGAGAGGAAGAGUUUCUGUGGCCGUGACUCUCAGGAGAGACGGAGGGAAAGAAGACGAGUCUGAGUUUGGACAGAACCGUUAUUCCUGGAGUCUGAGCUGCUCUGAUGAUGCUGGAUAUAAAGUCUGUCACAAUAAGACAGAAACUGUCAUCGAGAGCUCAGAAGUCUCUCACAGAGUUGGAGUGUUGCUGAACGCACCUGCUGGAGUUUUGAUCUUCUACAGAUUCUCCUCUGGAGUCUGGACCCUCCUCUACACCCUAUUCACCUCCACUGAACCUCUGCACCUGGGAUUUGGACUCAGAGAGGCUCGUGGUUCUGGUUCCUCAGUGUGUGUGUGUGACCUGAGUGUGUGAGUGUGUUCCUCCAACAAACUGGUGUUGCUGGUUCAAAUCCCCAUCCAAACUGCUGACAGUGAGGAAUGAAUCUGCUUCUGAAACAAAUGAGUUCUUCUGCAGAAAAGAACAAAAGAAUGUGAGAUGUUUGAAGAAGAGAAACUUUCUCUUUCAUCCCUCUCCUCCUUUCUCCUGUAAACGUCUUCACAUCCUGCUCAGUGGUCUCUUCCAGCUCCAUCUAUCAUCACUGUGUUCAGUCCCUGAAAGACUCCUCCAAGUCUCCAUCCUCAUGUGAAGAAGACUUCAACACAUUCUCAAACCAGUCUGUCCUUCUUCUUCUUCCCUGUGGACAGAUCACAUGACAACAAUCUUCAUCCAUGAACUCUUGAACUGUCAGUCGACCUUCAGUGAAGAGUUCAGAUAGAAUAGGAUAGGAUAGAAUAGCCUUUAUUGUCCUUGUACAGUGUACUCCCUUGGUGCGAACAAUGUAAAAAUAUAUCAAAACAAUCAAGCAUUCAGAGAACAACAAAUAGGAACUAAUAAAUAAUAUAUACACAAGUAGCAGCAGUGAAAGAGCGUAAUUACAGAAAGUGGCACUUAUCUGGAUGUAAACUUGAAUGAUUUGUUAUUGCACAUCGUUAUUUCUUUAUUGCACUAUGAUCAAUAUGGUCAGUAAUAAUUAAUUUUGUAGACUGUUUUAUUGUCACAACUUCUUCCGCUGACGUCACCGCCCAACCCACCUCGUCACAUCCACACCUGCCUCCAAUCUUCUGACGGUAUAAAGACCGGACCAACCUGCCAGUCCUCGCCUGUUUGUCAACCCUUCAUGAUUCUGCCUGCCUGCACCUCCUGCACCCCUACUCCACAGCCUGCACCUCCUGCACCCCUAUUCCACAGCCUGCACCUCCUGCACCAUCACCGCACUAGCCUGGAUGAAUUAAUUGCGCUGUCUAUCAGGGUUGACAACCGCCACCGUGAGCGGAAGAGACAAAGACAGCAGCAAACCACGCUGAACCCAGUCUCCGCCCAGCCUCGUCAAUCGCUCUCUCCGAUUGGUCACACCCCCAAGGAUGAAGGCACACCUGUUCUCCCGCCCAAUGACACUUCAGAGCCGAUGUAGUUGGGGCGUUAUCGCAUUGAUCCGUAGGAGCGGCGCCGUCGAAUUCAGUCCAACAGCUGUCUGUAUUGUGGGAGGAGCGGACACUUCUUAACCACGUGUCCUCACUGUCCGUGAAACGGGCAGGUUCGCUAGAAUCUGGGAGACUCCUAGCGAGCCGCACCUCCUUCCCACAAUCUCCCCGUCUGCGCACCAAGUUUGACGUCACCAUAAAUCACCAAGGUCAGUCACUUAAAUUGUCUGCACUCAUUGAUUCUGGUGCUGAUCAGAACUUUAUUGAUGUCAACACUGUGAAAACCUUUUAAUAUUUUGACCUUUCUGCUCCCUGAACCGCUUGAAGCGAAUGCUUUAGAUGGCCGUCUCUUGGCUUCAAUCACCCGUAUGACUGCUCCUGUGCGCCUCCUUCUGUCUGGUAACCAUCAGGAGGAGAUUAGUUUUUAUGUUCUGGACUCCCCGUUCGUGCCUGUAAUCCUUGGACGCCCAUUGCUUCUCAAACAUAACCCCCACAUUGACUGGAGAAUGGAGAAAAUCAUAAGUUGGAGUCUAAACUGUCAUAAAGUUUGUCUUCUCUCCGCUUUACCUCCCACUGUUGGUCCUCCUUGUACCAGUGACAGCACUGAUCUGUCUCUCAUUCCAGUAGAGUACCAAGCUUUGAGAGCUGCGUUCAACAAGGAGAAAGCCACGUCAUUACCACCUCAUCGACCUUAUGAUUGUGCUCCAGAGGCCAAAUUAUUGUCUGUGAGAAACACAUGAACUGAACAUGUGUCCAGCUCUAUGGCUGUUCUUCAUCUUUGUGAAAGAGUCUAAAUUAUUGUAGCAGCUGUGGUCCAUUCUCUUUCAUGCAUGUCGACUAUUUUAUGACCAAACAUGAUUCACAACAUCUUGUACUGGAAUGAUCUGUUGCACAUUUAUGCGCUUCUACUCAGUAAAUGUGCAACAUCUUAUUCCAGAGUAAACUAUGCCAUGUUUGACUCUCCCAUCUUCAUUCUUUCAGCAGUCUCCCUGCCUUUGGUCCGUUCCUUAUAUAGCACUUCAAUACAAAGCUGCACACCUGCCUGGUGUAAAACUAACAUGCUAUGGAAAACCUCAAGCAAAGAACACCUCAAAGAGCAGCUUCAGGCAUCAGAGCAACUUGAAAUGUCUCACCUCUUUAAUGUGUUUCUAAGCAAAUGGUGGUGGUCAAAGUAAUCGUCCAAAUGUUGCAUGUUUCUCCUUGGCCUUGACUGUAACCAGGAUUUAUGAUAAGUCGUAAUAUAAAGACAGUGGAUGGUAUUGUGUGAUGUUUUUCUCUAUAUAUUGAAGUGCUCCAGUGUGAUUUUGCAUUUUGUGUCUGCAGGUAUGUGCAUUUGUGGAUGUAGGAUGAGUAACUCACACACAUACCACAUAGCUGCACCACUGGAGGCUGUUCACACACCUGUCUUAGAGUUGAAGUGUACUAGCAGUUUGCUGGAGCAUCAGGAUCUUGUCUCACAAGAAGGCACUUGUCACCUGGAACCCACUGGUGAUGAGGACAGACAGAUUCAAAUAUCCAUCAUUGUCAACAGACCUGCAGAUCACUGUCAAAUGUUUUGUGGUACAUACAAACCUCCAAAGAUUGUCACAUUCAAUAUGAAAAUGGGGAACAAAGCAGACCUCAGUGUGUCAUUACAAUGUGUGAGCUUACAAACAAAUGUCUUUGAAUAUUGUGCGAUGCCAUAGGUUUAUAUGACAUGAAAAGUAGUGUUCACAACUUCAAAUUAACAUUUCAUUUUUGAACUAGAACUCAAGCUUACAUUUCAUGGGAUUUUGCAAUUGCUUUGCACUUAUUACGAUUGUCAUAUAUUGUCAUUAUAUCUGCAAAUUACUUUGCGACUGAAGAAAGUGAAACAUCCGAUUGGUGUCGAACUCUAGAGCCAAUCAGGUGGCACUCCUGUCCAUCCCAGCAUGCACUGAGAGCCAGGUGGAAGUCAGGCUGCUGCAGUGGUUCAGAAGCAACUGAGGGGCGCUUGGAUCCCGCCCCUUGUGCUCGGGGCUCAGCGCGAUUCUGGACACCCCAACGUCCCACAAUGCAUUGUUUAUUUUAUUUAUUUUAUUUUAUUUUAGUCUAGUUUAGUUUAGUUUAUUAUUUAUUUUUUCACAGCACUUUAUUCCAAAGCACUUUCCUAGUUGGUAAGGUCCCCACUGACCAUAAUAAGCAAUAAAUUUGAUUCUGAUUCUAAAGGUUUAUACAGUAUGAUACCUGGAAAUUGAUCUGUCACAAUGCUCAUGUGCUCCCUGAAAAAUUAAAAUUCUGUACAGAAAAUGCGCAAAGCGACUUGACGUAACAUACACCAUAUUUAUACUGCAUGUUACUGUGUGCAUGAGUCACACAGCCAUGGCUCCCCAGACCAGUGAGUCUCAGAUAAAACCACUGAAUAGUUCAGUUCUGGUUAUCGCAAGCAACCAUGUCUGCCACAGGUGUGGUGUCACCUUCCCAGUCACCCGUACAGUGCUGUCGACUGUGUACAGGCCCCAUAUCUAUGACAAGAAUGAGGACAAACAUAUGAACUGAGUCUCAGUCAGGAGUUUACACAGUUACACAAAGUUAUGUAUGUAAAUGCAGCAUUAGUGUCCGCAAAGAGACAAGUGAGUUUUGUUUUUUUAUUUUUUAAAAGGUUUGUUUAAGCUGUUUUAAAUGCU
Synchiropus splendidus (mandarinfish) is the source of this 7534-nucleotide RNA transcript. It is a transcript of the gene named NACHT, LRR and PYD domains-containing protein 12-like, with no coding region annotated. NCBI's taxonomy places the organism in Eukaryota, Metazoa, Chordata, Actinopteri, Syngnathiformes, Callionymidae. The record is from RefSeq and is a predicted model, not a curated record. The transcript is spliced from 15 exons.